GAUGAACGCUAGCGGCAGGCCUAACACAUGCAAGUCGAGGGGUAACAUGAGUGCUUGCACUUGAUGACGACCGGCGCACGGGUGCGUAACGCGUAUACAAUCUACCUUUUGCUGAAGGAUAGCCCAGAGAAAUUUGGAUUAAUACUUCAUGGUAUGCAUAGUUUUCAUGAACAUUGCAUUAAAGGUUACGGCAAAAGAUGAGUAUGCGUCCUAUUAGUUAGUUGGUGUGGUAACGGCACACCAAGACCACGAUAGGUAGGGGCCCUGAGAGGGGGAUCCCCCACACUGGUACUGAGACACGGACCAGACUCCUACGGGAGGCAGCAGUGAGGAAUAUUGGACAAUGGAGGCAACUCUGAUCCAGCCAUGCCGCGUGCAGGAAGACUGCCCUAUGGGUUGUAAACUGCUUUUAUACGGGAAGAAACCGUGCUACGUGUAGCACCUUGACGGUACCGUAAGAAUAAGGAUCGGCUAACUCCG
Molecule: ribosomal RNA, 480 nt
Filed under: uncultured Flavobacteriaceae bacterium
Lineage: Bacteria; Pseudomonadati; Bacteroidota; Flavobacteriia; Flavobacteriales; Flavobacteriaceae
Description: bacterial SSU rRNA
Rfam family: Bacterial small subunit ribosomal RNA
Source: RNAcentral